RNAcentral lists this ribosomal RNA (460 nucleotides) under uncultured bacterium. Its description in RNAcentral is "partial 16S ribosomal RNA". It matches the Rfam family "Bacterial small subunit ribosomal RNA", at positions 338 to 795 of the family's 1533-position model. The record is from RNAcentral.
CCUACGGGUGACAGCAGUGAGGAAUAUUGGUCAAUGGGCGAGAGCCUGAACCAGCCAAGUCGCGUGAAGGAUGAAGGAUCUAUGGUUUGUAAACUUCUUUUAUAUGGGAAUAAAGUGAGGAACGUGUUCCUUUUUGUAUGUACCAUAUGAAUAAGCAUCGGCUAACUCCGUGACAGCAGCCGCGGUAAUACGGAGGAUGCGAGCGUUAUCCGGAUUUAUUGGGUUUAAAGGGUGCGUAGGUGGUUAAUUAAGUCAGCGGUGAAAGUUUGUGGCUCAACCAUAAAAUUGCCGUUGAAACUGGUUGACUAGAGUAUAUGUGAGGGAGGCGGAAUGCGUGGUGUAGCAGUGAAAUGCAUAGAUAUCACGCAGAACACCGAUUGCGAAGGCAGCUUACUAAACUAUAACUGACACUGAAGCACGAAAGCGUGGGGAUCAAACAGGAUUAGAUACCCGAGUAGUC